UGGCUACAGAACGAACGCUGGCGGCAUGCCUAACACAUGCAAGUCGAACGAGACCUUCGGGUCUAGUGGCGCACGGGUGUGUAACACGUGGGAAUUUGCCUCGGGGUAUGGAAUAACUCAGGGAAACUUGAGCUAAUACCAUAUAAUGUCUUCGGACCAAAGAUUUAUCGCCCUGAGAUAAGCCCGCGUAGGAUUAGCUAGUUGGUGGGGUAAAGGCUCACCAAGGCGACGAUCCUUAGCUGGUCUGAGAGGAUGAUCAGCCACACUGGGACUGAGACACGGCCCAGACUCCUACGGGAGGCAGCAGUGGGGAAUAUUGGACAAUGGGCGAAAGCCUGAUCCAGCAAUGCCGCGUGAGUGAUGAAGGCCUUCGGGUUGUAAAGCUCUUUUACUCGGGACGAUAAUGACGGUACCGAGAGAAUAAGCCCCGGCUAACUCCGUG
RNAcentral lists this ribosomal RNA (442 nucleotides) under uncultured bacterium. RNAcentral's name for it is "bacterial SSU rRNA". It matches the Rfam family "Bacterial small subunit ribosomal RNA", at positions 26 to 507 of the family's 1533-position model. The record is from RNAcentral.